AAUCUCCCUGUCCUCGGCCCUGCCUUCUCUUCUUUCUACCUUCAGAGUUUUCCUAUGUGGAAACUCAAGCAAGAGCCUUUCAAGCGAGAAAUGCAAAAGCCAUUGAAGUACAGCUCAGGGAAGUGACUG
RNAcentral lists this long non-coding RNA (129 nucleotides) under Mustela putorius furo (domestic ferret). Its description in RNAcentral is "lncRNA (ENSMPUG00000026044.1)". Lineage: Eukaryota; Metazoa; Chordata; Mammalia; Carnivora; Mustelidae. The record is from RNAcentral.